UCCGGAUUGGUGUAGGGGUUAACAUUGCCGCCUCUCAUCCGUUACGUAAGCCUUAGCUUUCGUAAUAUGGUCGCGGCAGCCCGGGGUUCGAUUCCCCGAUCCGGAA
Mycena epipterygia is the source of this 106-nucleotide non-coding RNA. NCBI's taxonomy places the organism in Eukaryota, Fungi, Basidiomycota, Agaricomycetes, Agaricales, Mycenaceae. The record is from the annotation of a GenBank genome assembly.